RNAcentral lists this ribosomal RNA (701 nucleotides) under uncultured marine archaeon. RNAcentral's name for it is "bacterial SSU rRNA". It matches the Rfam family "Archaeal small subunit ribosomal RNA", at positions 56 to 747 of the family's 1478-position model. The record is from RNAcentral.
AGCCGUUGGAGGAGGAGUGGCGGACGGCUCAGUAACACGUAGUUAACCUGCCCUCAGGACAGAGAUAACCCCGGGAAACUGAGGAUAAUCCCUGAUAGAUGAGGAAGCCUGGAAUGGUUCGUCAUCUAAAGGCCGGUGGAACCGUGCUUCCAGCGUCGCCUGAGGAUGGGGCUGCGGCCGAUCAGGUAGUUGGUGAGGUAACGGCUCACCAAGCCUAUAACCGGUACGGGCCGUGAGAGCGGGAGCCCGGAGAUGGGCACUGAGACAAGGGCCCAGGUCCUAAGGGGCGCAGCAGUCGCGAAGACUCUGCUAUGCGCGAAAGCGUGACAGGGUUACCCCGAGUGCCGUCCGCUGAGGAUGGCUUUUCUCCGGUGUAAUGAGCCGGAGGAAUAAGGGGAGGGCAAGUCUGGUGUCAGCCGCCGCGGUAAUACCAGCUCCCCGAGUGGUGGGGGUGAUUAUUGGGCCUAAAGCGUUCGUAGCCUGCCCGGCAAGUCUUCCGUUAAAUCCAACGAUCUAAUCGUUGGGCUGCGGGAGAUACUGUUGGGCUAGGGGGCGAGAGAAGCCGACGGUACUCGCGGGGUAGGGGUGAAAUCCUAUAAUCCCGGGAGGACCACCAGUGGCGAAGGCGGUCGGCUAGAACGCGCCCGACGGUGAGGGACGAAAGCUGGGGGAGCGAACCGGAUUAGAUACCCGGGUAGUCC